CCUACGGGAGGCAGCAGUAGGGAAUAUUGCACAAUGGGGGAAACCCUGAUGCAGCAACGCCGCGUGAGUGAAGAAGGCCCUUGGGUCGUAAAGCUCUUUAGCGAGGGAAGCGGUACCUCGAGAAUAAGCACCGGCUAAUUUCGUGCCAGCAGCCGCGGUAAUACGAAAGGUGCAAGCGUUACUCGGAAUCACUGGGCGUAAAGCGCACGUAGGCGGACUCGUAGGUCAAUUGUGAAAUACCUGGGCUCAACCCAGGAACUGCAGUUGAAACCGCUUGUCUUGAAUACCUGAGAGGGUGGGGGAAUACCUGGUGGAGAAGUGAAAUUCGUAGAGAUCAGGUGGAACACCGGAGGCGAAGCGCCUGCCUGGAGGUAUUGACGCUGAGGUGCGAAAGUGCGGGGAGCAAACAGGAUUAGAUACCCUUGUAGUC
RNAcentral lists this ribosomal RNA (430 nucleotides) under uncultured bacterium. RNAcentral's name for it is "partial 16S ribosomal RNA". It matches the Rfam family "Bacterial small subunit ribosomal RNA", at positions 338 to 795 of the family's 1533-position model. The record is from RNAcentral.